GACGAACGCUGGCGGCGUGCUUAACACAUGCAAGUCGAACGGUGAAGCGCCUUCCUUUUUGGUGGGUGUGGAUGAGUGGCGAACGGGUGAGUAACACGUGAGUAACCUGCCCCCUUCUUCUGGAUAACCGCAUGAAAGUGUGGCUAAUACGGGAUAUUCUGGGUCUGUCGUAUGAUGGGUCUGGGAAAGAUAUUGUUUCGGUGGGGGAUGGGCUCGCGGCCUAUCAGCUUGUUUGUGGGGUGAUGGCCUACCAAGGCGGUGACGGGUAGCCGGCCUGAGAGGGUGGACGGUCACACUGGGACUGAGACACGGCCCAGACUCCUACGGGAGGCAGCAGUGGGGAAUAUUGCACAAUGGGCGCAAGCCUGAUGCAGCGACGCCGCGUGAGGGAUGGAGGCCUUCGGGUUGUGAACCUCUUUCGCCAGUGAAGCAGGCCUGCCUCGUUUGUGGGUGGGUUGACGGUAGCUGGAUAAGAAGCGCCGGCUAACUACGUG
RNAcentral lists this ribosomal RNA (494 nucleotides) under uncultured bacterium. Its description in RNAcentral is "partial 16S ribosomal RNA". It matches the Rfam family "Bacterial small subunit ribosomal RNA", at positions 28 to 507 of the family's 1533-position model. The record is from RNAcentral.